GUUUAACUGUUCGCAAAUUAUCGAUUAAAACGAGAGAGAUUUUUGAACGUCUCGAAAACCAUUUUGUAAAGUGGCGCUCAAAAAAGUCCUGUCGCGCCAUCUGCCAGACUAGGGAAUUACUCGUACUGCGCAAUUUGACCGGCAGAUGGCAGCACAGUUUCGCUUGGCGCCCGUUGAAAAAUCGAAACUGGCGCGGCGUAAUUUCGCGAAAAAUUGCGAAAAGGUGGUGAACAAUUAACGACAGCUUGUUGCGAGUGUUCAUUAGUCGUCUGUCAACGAUAUUCUACGACGAGACGAGGUGAGUACCAUUCUCGUUCAAAUGGAAAUUACCAAUUCCACUAGUUUAAAGAACACGAGCUCGGUGAGUUCUACCAUUGAAUACAUAUUUUUCUCUGUUCGUGGUUGAAAAAUUCUGGUCCUAAAAUUUUUCUCGUUUCUCGCAAUUGAGUGACUUGCGAAUCCGUUGUUGUAGCUCGUUAAAAGAGUAAACAUACGAAUUAAAUGGCGGGGAGGGAGGGGAGAUGCGAGUGUGGGUUUAACGCAAGAAACAAUGGA
Frieseomelitta varia is the source of this 555-nucleotide long non-coding RNA. RefSeq lists it as uncharacterized. The record is from RefSeq and is a predicted model, not a curated record. NCBI's taxonomy places the organism in Eukaryota, Metazoa, Arthropoda, Insecta, Hymenoptera, Apidae. The transcript has 2 exons.